RNAcentral lists this ribosomal RNA (301 nucleotides) under uncultured bacterium. Its description in RNAcentral is "partial 16S ribosomal RNA". It matches the Rfam family "Bacterial small subunit ribosomal RNA", at positions 509 to 807 of the family's 1533-position model. The record is from RNAcentral.
CAGUCGCCACGGUAAUACGAAGGGGGCUAGCGUUGCUCGGAAUGACUGGGCGUAAAGGGCGCGUAGGCGGUUUGUACAGUUGGAUGUGAAAUUCCUGGGCUUAACCUGGGGGCUGCAUUCAAGACGUGCGGGCUUGAGUGUGGAAGAGGGUUGUGGAAUUCCCAGUGUAGAGGUGAAAUUCGUAGAUAUUGGGAAGAACACCGGUGGCGAAGGCGGCAACCUGGUCCAUAACUGACGCUGAGGCGCGAAAGCGUGGGGAGCAAACAGGAUUAGAUACCCGAGUAGUCCCUGUCUCUUAUAC